This is a long non-coding RNA of Phacochoerus africanus (Common warthog), 616 nucleotides long. RefSeq lists it as uncharacterized. Lineage: Eukaryota; Metazoa; Chordata; Mammalia; Artiodactyla; Suidae. The record is from RefSeq and is a predicted model, not a curated record. The transcript has 3 exons.
CCUCCCGGCCGCCCGCCCGUCGCCCGCCGCCCGCUUGGCCUCGGCCGCGCUGGAUGUGUGCAGGCGCUGGCGCUCGGCCGCCCCGGAGCUGCCGCCCGUACGGAUUUGGUUGGCGUGCCUCCGCUUUCAGACUUUCACCUGGAAAGGAGAGACUCGCGCAGACGGAGCCCGGUCGGAGUUGGGCGUUUUCUCUUCGUGUGUUUGGCUGGCUUUCCCCCUGGUCUCUGACGAUCCCCCAUCGUGAGCCUUGCUCUGGAACCAAACCAUGAACUUGGGGCUGACAGGACUGCUUAACCCUUUACGACCAGGCCUCAGAUGCCAGCUCUGAAAAACUCUUCAAUACUGUUAUUGUAAACAAAGAUCCGGAGCUCGGUGUCGGCGCGCUACCCGAACACGACGGCCACGAUGCAGGGCCCAUUGUCCCCAAGAUAUCGGGUCUAGAGAGGAGCCAGGAGAAGAGCCAGGACUGCGGCAAAGAGCCCAUCUUUGAGCCCGUGGUGCUGAAAGACCCCCGUCCUCAGGUCCCGCCGCCGCCGCCCCAGCCCCAGGCGGAGCCCCCGCCCCGAGCGCCUUCUCCGGACCCCGCCUCGGGGCCGCGCGCUGAGCCCCCGCCGCC